CAAGGUCGCAAAAGCAGCCCCGGCCCAUCGCCUACAUUUUUGGCAGCCGAGGCCUGCAAACAGAGGCUGGUGGACGGCUGGGCUUUCAGUACUCGGACACCUCCAGGAAUAUAAAAGAAUAUGUCCUGAAACGGAAAUAUUUGAAAAUGUGCAUCAAAAGAAGACCCUCUGUAUGAAGACAAAAAAUGACAGCAAGAUUGUCAUCUAAGUACAUACAGAUGUUCCAGGUCCCUUUGGAUUGCAUUAUGACAGAGGACAGAGGAGAUAACAUAGCCUUGGGGCAAGACCAUGGAACCGUGUAAGGACAGACUGUCUCAAGAAAAUGCAAACUGUUUAUGAUCCUGCUUUCAAGUAGUAAUGAAAAUAAAUAGAUUUACCACAUUAGUGGCCAUAUAUCAUGUGUCUAAAGUUUUGAUGUGUUCAAGCAAAGAUAGCACCUUUUGGCAUGCCACCCAUAAUAGAGACCACUGGUGGUUUGUAUUUGCAAUUGUCAAUUAUCCU
Molecule: long non-coding RNA, 501 nt
Organism: Panthera uncia (snow leopard)
Lineage: Eukaryota; Metazoa; Chordata; Mammalia; Carnivora; Felidae
Exons: 3
Source: RefSeq, a predicted model, not a curated record